Molecule: RNA transcript, 2209 nt
Organism: Monomorium pharaonis (pharaoh ant)
Lineage: Eukaryota; Metazoa; Arthropoda; Insecta; Hymenoptera; Formicidae
Exons: 4
Source: RefSeq, a predicted model, not a curated record
UGUUAAAAAUGAAAAAGAAGGUAAAUUUAUAGAAUAAAACAUAUAUUUAAAUUGAAAUAAAAUAUUUCAUUUGUCGGCACUCAUACAGAAUACGCACAUUUGUCACAAGACUAAGGAAAAAUCGCCAAAAAAUCUUAUAAGUAUUCAUCAAAUAGAAUACGAUAUUUAUAAAUUAUUUUAUUUAAUACGGGAAAAUAUACAUGCGUGUUUAAUAUGUGAAAUGUGUUAAUGUUUGUAUAAAUUUACAAAAAAAAAUUGUAUGGAGUCCAAAGAUCUUCUUUCUAUUACCAAUAAAUACUUCAUUAAAGCCUCAUGUUUGCGCGAGAACAACCGAUCCGUCUAUCACUGUUACUAAAUUUAUACGCUGGUGUCGUGUGCAAAAUGUAUGACCAAAGAUCUCCUUUCUAUUACUAAUGGAUAUUUUACUGAAGACUCACGUCCGCUUGCGCGAGAACAACCGGUCCCUCUAUCAACACUGAUAUUAAAGUUAUUUGCCCGUGUCGUGUGCAAAAUCUCAUUAAAAUCAGUGAGGGACAAUUCUGUCCAUUCCCUUGUUAUAAAAAAAUGAAGGACUCAACCGAUUUCCUAUUUCUCCAGAAAAGCAAUUGUUGAUGACAAUUUGGACCUUUGCAACCCGGAUUCAUACAGAUCAAUAUGUGAUCGCUUUAACAUUGGUAAAGCUACUGCUGUGCGAUCAGUACGGCGAGUUAUGAAUGCUCUUACUAGUAUUCGAGAGUUUGACAUUAAAUGGCCCACAGAAGAAGAAGCAAUGGUAUCCUCGAGGAUCUUUCAAGAAAUGAAAGGAUUUCCCGGUGUAUAUACUGGGAGCAAUUGUUGGGACACAUGUAAAAAUAGAUGCUCCAAAAAAAAAAAAUCAUGAAGGAUAUAUCAAUCGGAAAGGAUAUCAUUCAAUUCAAUUACAAGUAGUAUGUGACCACGCCAUGAAAUUUAUACAUUGCUACAUGGGAUAUCCAGGCUCAGUAUACGAUUAGAGAGUCUUUGGUGUUUCGGGAUUGCAAGAUUUCUGUAAUGAUUCAGCUAAAUUUCUAAAUAAUACUCAUUUAAUUGGUGACGCUGCUUAUAAAAUUCAAAAGAGUUUGCUCGUUUUUUACAAGGAUAAUGGUCGAUUGACUGAGAGACAAACAAACUAUAAUUAUUGUUUAUCAUCGACAAGAAUGAUAGUUGAGCGUUCAAUUGGUCUCUUAAAAUCACGGUUUCGAAUUCUGUUAGGUUACCUGUAAGAAGAACCGAUCGCAUUCCGAAUUAUAUUAUGGCAUGCUGUGUUUUGCAUAAUAUAUGCUUAAUUAGAAAUGAUAUGGUUGAAAUUCCAUUAAUAGUGGAAGAUCGCUUUGAAAACCGUGUGAAAAAUUUGAAUGCAAUACUGCAUGCACAAGGCAUGGAAAAACGUGAUAGGAUUAGGGAUCAUCUCAAUAUUAGAUUACAAUAACACUAUAAUUUGGAAAUGUUCAUCAUGGCAGUGGUCUCUGUUUGCUAUGAAUUUCCAGAGCUAAUAAUAUUGUAUUGAAUUAUUUAUUAAAUUUAUAAAAUCUUUUUUUUAUCCAUUUUAUAUUAUACAAUACUUGUAAAGCUAUUGAAAAUAAAAACGCUAUUAAAAGUAAAAAGAAUUUAUUUGUAUUGUAAAAAUAAUUUAUCCUAAAAUGUCAACAUUGUUUGUCAGCCUAUUAAUUGCCAAUACACAAUAGUAACUUUAUUAUAUCUCCUUAUAAUUACACAACCUUCACUUUGCAAACAAAAUAUAUAUUUGAAAUAAAAUAUUAAUACCUUUGAGAUUGUUGAACAUUUCAGUUUUACGAAUGCUUACAAAUGCUAUAAUAUUACACAACCUUCACUUCGCAAACAAAUAUAUAUUUGAAAUAAAACAGUGUAUUAUCUCUUUGAAGUUAUCAAACAUUUCGAUCUCACGAAUGCUUACAAUUCUACAUUUGAUUUUUCUCUUCUUACUAAUAACUUUGUAAAUAUGUUGUAUUAUUAGCCUUGUUCGUUUUGUCUGUUCUGGGUUUGCUGCGAGUAGACCCAGAACAGACAAAACGAACAAUACUAUUGUAUAAUAUAAUAUGUAUAAUGCCUUUUAACCCAUUGGCUGUGUAAGAGAAUUUUACUAUUUGGGCCAAAAGUCUGUUGAAAAGAAAGUUCAUCGGAUUAUUAUGAAACUUGGUACCCUUGUGUUUUUUGGGUCUCUGAAUCCGAA